Long non-coding RNA from Suricata suricatta (meerkat), 1095 nucleotides. RefSeq lists it as uncharacterized. NCBI's taxonomy places the organism in Eukaryota, Metazoa, Chordata, Mammalia, Carnivora, Herpestidae. The transcript has 2 exons. The record is from RefSeq and is a predicted model, not a curated record.
GCCCGGGUGGAAGGGGCCCGGGCUGGGGGGAGGAGGGUCCAGGCGGCCGCAGGGAGGGGAGGUAGCCAGGUCGCCAAACACUCUGGCCAGCAGACGAGAGCAAAGAAGACCGAGAGCGCGAGAGGGUUGCUCGAACUAAGCCGCGCCCGAUCCCUCCCUGGUCUAAGCGCCUCAACCCAGAGACCAGCCCUGGAGCCGAGGCUCGGGACUAACGGACGUCCCAGCCGUCCGCGCUGGCGGCUGAGGAUGCAAGUCCGUCCCCGCGGCCCGGGGGGCCUGCCCAGGCCCAGCUCGGCGGCCCAGGGCCUCACCUUGAGCCGAGAGCUGUCGGACACUGUUCACGAAUUGCUCCAGGGCAGACGCCAUGUUUCCCCCGCGGCGGCCCGAGCAGCAGAGGCAGCUCACGCGGGAAAAAGCGGCUGCUCUGGAAGGAGGGGCCGCGGCGAUCCACCACAGGGCCUCAACCGCGGCCCGACGUCACUUCCGCUGACUCAAGCACCGCGAGAUCUCACCUACCUGGGAGCCGGUUACUGUUUCCAUGGAAACAGUUUCGCUACUCACCGUAGCCGGAAGUUCGCUUUCUUUCCCUUCGCUUUUUAUCCGGUUCUCUGGUGAAGUUCCUCCUGCUGUUUAUUGGGCAUGUGGGCAAAGGAAGAUGCUAAACUCAAAAUUAGGCGCAGAUUUCCCGGAUUUUGCUUGGAAUGACCGUUCCGUUUUCCACGUACGCAAAUCCUUCAAGCCUGGAUUAAUUGCCACCUCUUCCACGAGGCUUUUCCUAUAGUGAAGAUUGGAGCCAGGCGGGCUGCCUGGAUUCAAAUCUCUUUCCUACUAUAGUAGCUGUGUGACUUUGGACACGUUUAUUUGGCCGUCCCCUGCCUUGUAUUGCCCAUCUGUAAGACUCUUCUAAUAACCUCAACAGAACAGUGCAUAGUGCAUAGUGAGAACUGCAUUUUCAUUCAGGGGCCUUACCACAGGAUCUGGUGCAUAGUAGGGACUGAGCAAAUAAGCGUACAUUUUAAAUUUCAUCCAACAUAUUUAUUGAGCAUUAACAACGUGCUGUAUUAGGUGCUAUGAAUACACUGGUGUGUAAAAACA